GCCUGGAUGGCUCAGUCAGUGGAGCAUAAGACUCUGGAUCUCUGGGUUGUGAGUUCAAGUUCCACACUGGGCA
This 73-nucleotide transfer RNA is filed under the name Felis catus (domestic cat). It matches the Rfam family "tRNA". From Rfam's summary of the family: Transfer RNA (tRNA) molecules are approximately 80 nucleotides in length. Their secondary structure includes four short double-helical elements and three loops (D, anti-codon, and T loops). The record is from Rfam by way of RNAcentral. Lineage: Eukaryota; Metazoa; Chordata; Mammalia; Carnivora; Felidae.